GAUCUUUCUUGAUUCUAUGGGUGGUGGUGCAUGGCCGUUCUUAGUUGGUGGAGUGAUCUGUCUGGUUAAUUCCGAUAACGAACGAGACCUCAGCCUGCUAACUAGUCGCCACUGGUUCCAGUGACGGACUUCUUAGAGGGACUUUAGGAGCGAUCCUAAGGAAGCUUGAGGCAAUAACAGGUCUGUGAUGCCCUUAGAUGUCCUGGGCCGCACGCGCGCUACACUGAUACAGGCAACAAGUUCCGCGACAGACAUGUCCCGGGAACCUUCAAACUGUAUCGUGAUGGGGAUUGACUCUUGUAAUUAUUGGUCAUGAACGAGGAAUUCCUAGUAAACGCAAGUCAUCAGCUUGCAUUGACUACGUCCCUGCCCUUUGUACACACCGCCCGUCGCUCCUACCGAUUUGAGUGACGAGGUGA
Molecule: ribosomal RNA, 419 nt
Filed under: Ditylum brightwellii
Lineage: Eukaryota; Bacillariophyta; Thalassiosirophyceae; Lithodesmiales; Lithodesmiaceae
Description: partial Eukaryotic small subunit ribosomal RNA
Rfam family: Eukaryotic small subunit ribosomal RNA
Source: RNAcentral